AGGACGAACGCUGGCGGCGUGCCUAACACAUGCAAGUCGAGCGGAAAGGCCUCCUUCGGGAGGUACUCGAGCGGCGAACGGGUGAGUAACACGUGGACAACCAACCCUUCACAUCGGGAUACCCCGGGGAAACUCGGAUCAAUACCGGAUAAUGCGCGACGCUGUUGGGCGUCGCACCAAAGGUAGCUUCGGCCUCUGGUGAAGGACGGGUCCGCGGCCCAUUAGCUUGUUGGUGGGGUAAUGGCCUACCAAGGCAACGAUGGGUAGCUGGUCUGAGAGGAUGAUCAGCCACACUGGGACUGAGAUACGGCCCAGACUCCUACGGGAGGCAGCAGUGGGGAAUAUUGCGCAAUGGGCGGAAGCCUGACGCAGCAACGCCGCGUGCGGGAGGAAGGCCUUCGGGUCGUAAACCGCUUUCAGGGGGGACGAAGCCACCAGGGUUAAUAGGCCCAUGGGGUGACGGUACUCCCGAGAAGAAGCCCCGGCUAACUACGUGCCAGCAGCCGCGGU
Molecule: ribosomal RNA, 510 nt
Filed under: uncultured bacterium
Lineage: Bacteria
Description: SSU rRNA
Rfam family: Bacterial small subunit ribosomal RNA
Source: RNAcentral